Molecule: long non-coding RNA, 2536 nt
Organism: Dreissena polymorpha
Lineage: Eukaryota; Metazoa; Mollusca; Bivalvia; Myida; Dreissenidae
Exons: 2
Source: RefSeq, a predicted model, not a curated record
CACCCCAAAAAAAUCAUUUUAUGCCCCCCAGUAGGGUAGCAUAAAGCAGUUGAACUGUCCGUCAGUGUCAGUCAGUCUGUCUGUCCAUUCGGAAAAACAACAACAUUCGCCAUAACUUUUUCACUUUUUAAGAUAGCAACUAGAUAUUUGGCAUGCAUGUGUAUCUCAUGGAGCUGCACAUUUUGAGUGGUGUAUGGUCAUCCUUCAAGGUCCAAUGUCAAAUUUAUGGUGUCUGUCCGUCCGAAAACUUUAACAUUGGCCAUAACUUUUCAAUAUUGAAGAUAGCAACUUGAUAUUUGGCAUGCAUGUUUAUCUCAUGGAGCUGAACAUUUUGAGUGGUGAAAGGUCAAGGUCAUCCUUCAAGGUCAAAUGUCCAAUUUAUGGUGUCUGUCCGUCUGAAAACUUUAACAUUGGCCAUAACUUUUUCAAUAUUGAAGAUAGCAACUUGAUAUUUUGCAUGCAUGUGUAUCUCAUGGAGCUAAACAUUUUGAGUGGUGAAAGGUGAAGGUAAUCCUUCAAGGUCAAAUGUCAAAUAUAUGGCGUCUGUCCGUCCGAAAACUUUAACAUUGGCCAUAACUUUUUUAAUAUUGAAGAUAGCAACUUGAUAUUUGGCAUGCAUGUGUAUCUCAUGAAGCUGCACAUUUUGAAUGGAGGAAGUUCAAGGUCAAGGUCAUCCUUCAAGGUAAAAAAAAUAAUAAAUCAAAGCGGCGUUCUCAUGAAGCUGCACAUUUUGAGUGGUGGAAGUUCAAGGUCAUCCUUCAAGGUCAAGGUCAUCCAUCAAGGUCAAAGGUAAAAAAACAAAUAUAAAAUUUCAAAGCGGCAUUAUCAUUAAGCUGCACAUUUUGAGUGGUGGAAGUUCAAGGUCAAGGUCAUCCUUCAAGGUCAAAAAAAAAAAAUAAACAAAUUUCAAAGCGGCGUUCUCAUGAAGCUGCCCAUUGUGAGUGGUGGAAGUUCAAGGUCAAGGCCAUCCUUCAAGGUCAAGGUCAUCCUUCAUGGUCAAAGGUCCAAAAAAAUAAUUCAAAGCGGCGUUCUCAUGAAGCUGCACAUUUUGAGCGGUGGAAGUUCAAAGUCAAGGUCAUUCUUCAAGGUCAAGGUCAUCCUUCAAGGUCAAAGGUAAAAAAAAAAUUUAUUAUUUCAAAGCGGCGUUAUCAUGAAGCUGCACAUUUUGAGUGUUGGAAGUUAAAGGUCAAGGUCAUCCUUCAAGGUCAAGGUCAUCCUUCAAGGUCAAAUGUCAAACAAAUAAUAUUUCAAAGCGGCCUUCUCAUAAAGCUGCACAUUUUGAGUGGUGGAAGUUCAAGGUCAAGGUCAUCCUUCAAGGUCAAAGGAAAAAAAACAACAAUUAACAUUUUCAAAGCGGCGCAAUAGGGGGCAUUGUGUUUCUGACAAACACAUCGCUUGUUUUUUUCCAACAUGGUUAAAAAACACAAAUAUUUAUUUUUAUUAUUUAUUUGAAAUACCGUCCAACCAUCCCACCCAAGAAUCCCUCCCCCCCCCCCCCAAAAAAAAAACAAACUUUUUUUUGCAUUUUUUUUGCAUUUUUGGAAGAUAAUGUAAUAAAUGACCACACCACCACACUAUACACCCCUCUCCACUCCAACCCUUUCUCCUUUGUGAUUGAAAUUGAGAUAGGUCCCUACACCUUUAUAAAGAAAAAUAGAUGAGGGGUUAUUACUUAUUAGUUUUAUUAGUUAUUCAUGCGGCGCAGUAGUGGCAAUGGGUUUCUGACAAACACAUCUCUUGUUGAGUCACUAGGUCAAAGGUUACAAAGGUCAAGGUCACUGUGACCUCUAAAAAAAAAAUUCUGACAAGCUUUCGCAGCCGAGCGUGGCACCCGUUAUGCGGUGCUCUUGUUUUAAAUUGUGUGGUAGAUUGAUAAAAUUUAUACAUCAAAAUAACAAUACAGAUAUUUGGAAACAAUAGAAGUAUUGGUCUAUAUUUUUAAUUCCGUAUUAAAUUCAAUUUUAAAAAUAAUGUGUUUAUAUUUUCGUCUACUCCAAAUAAUCAUUUUGAAUAAGCAAAUAUAGGGUAAUAAUCUCUAUGGAAAGUACACGUAGGAACUUAUCAAUCGCUUGUGUACUUCAUAUUGAUCAGGGUCUUUGUAAAUUAUUGCAUGAUUGUUUAUGCCUAUGUCUGAAUUGUGUAAAUAUCUUCAAAAGCAUUAGAUAACUGUAAAGAGGAUUUUAAUUUUAAAAUGUUUAAAUAUUAUCUAAACUGUAACCAGGCAUCUGUUGCAUUUAUUUGAACAUGCUUAAAUUUUCUUGCAUUCUGAAUGUUAUAUUGUCUAUAAACGUUCGUAUUUUUACUUUUUAUUGUGGUUGUUUUGUUAAGACAAAGUACAUAACACUAAUCCUGUUGUUUUGUUCAACCAUUUCUAUAAAAAUGUUGUAUGUAAAUAAUUGAACAUGUUUAUGUUGGUGAUAUGCAUUUCCCGAUAUAAGUUUGUUGUUGCACUCUCGAUAAAGUGCAUAGCCAUUCAUGUGUAAUAUUAUUGAUAAGUGACACUUUGUUGUUAUUACGAAUAAAAAUCUCCAAUGAU